This 274-nucleotide ribosomal RNA is filed under the name uncultured bacterium. Its description in RNAcentral is "partial 16S ribosomal RNA". It matches the Rfam family "Bacterial small subunit ribosomal RNA", at positions 523 to 796 of the family's 1533-position model. The record is from RNAcentral.
AUACGGAGGGUGCAAGCGUUACUCGGAAUCACGGGGCGUAAAGCGCGCGCAGGCGGUCUUUUAAGUUGGAUGUGAAAGCCUACGGCUCAACCGUAGAACUGCAUCCAAAACUAUUAGACUAGAGUGUGGGAGAGGAAGAUGGAAUUAGUUGUGUAGGGGUAAAAUCCGUAGAGAUAACUAGGAAUACCAAAAGCGAAGGCAAUCUUCUGGAACACUACUGACGCUGAGGCGCGAAAGCGUGGGGAGCAAACGGGAUUAGAAACCCUAGUAGUCC